Lycium ferocissimum is the source of this 3676-nucleotide long non-coding RNA. RefSeq lists it as uncharacterized. Lineage: Eukaryota; Viridiplantae; Streptophyta; Magnoliopsida; Solanales; Solanaceae. The record is from RefSeq and is a predicted model, not a curated record. The transcript has 2 exons.
UAUCUUCCUUGUCGUAAUCUUAGCAUUUCUUUGUUGUUAUGUUUAAUUUUCCAUGCGUUUAGAAAUCAAAUCGCUUAUAUUUAAUUGUCUGUUCCCUGUUAGAUUUGAGAAAAACAUGAUUGUGUGAUUAUUUUAGUCUCAACAUAUGUACUUCUUGUUUUGUCUAUUUUAGGAAGUGGGAGAAUGAUUAAGUGUGAGGAUAUCCUAAUGUUAGAAUCCCUGUUAGAAUAGAAAACAUAGGAUUACAAGAUUUUUUUUUUUUUUUUUUUUAAUUAUCGAUGUGCAUCUUGAUUUGUUACAAGUAACUGUUGAAUAACAUAAGGUCAUGUUUGAAGAUUUUUUCAUUAAAAUGAAGGUCAUAGCCACUCUUGGAGUAAUGAAGAAUGGAAGAUAAUAACUCAUUUCAAGUUUAGAUUAAGAGAUGAUUUUCCAGUUUCUCUUUGUUUUUCUGUUAAAGAAAAACAGUGGUGGUUCGCAUGUUAGUUUCUUUUGGAUACUUUGCCUAAUUAAAAUACAUGUUUGAUGACCAAGUUUUCCCAUAUUUCUUUGUGUUGUGAUUAGAAUUAACUGUAGCAUCUUCUUUUGAAAAUUAGAGCUUGAUAUUAAAAGAGAAAUUAUGGUCUGUUUAACCUAAAACUAAUUCACAUUUGUUCUCCAAAGAGAUAAGAAUAGCCACUGGUUCAUGUUAAAAAUUGUGUUCAACUCUAGUUUUCUUUGUUUUGCUAAAUGAUUAAAGAAGACAAUGUGUAACCCUUUGAAGUGGUUUAGGUCCCAGGAGUGUGGUUGAAGUGCCCAUCUACUUUCAUUUAAAGGAAUGCUAAAAGAUAAAUUUGUCUAAAAUAGAACAUAUCUUUCUUUUUCCUUAGGCUAAGUAAAAUCUCUUAGAAAUUAUUAAUUAGCUAAUGCCUGUGUGUGUUUUAAAAUAGUGAAUAUAAAUACAACUCACUGUGUACUGCUUAUCUUACCUAGUUGAUUCAAAGAACUAGCUGUUAUUUCCUAAAGAUGCUGCUAAGUUCAAGUGUUUUUUUUUUUUUAGAUGGACUAAAUGCCUUUUAAAGAACUGAGAGUACCAACUCCUUUAAGUCCUUUCUAUUAACUCAGCAUGUUUGUUCUUGAGAUUUCCAUGAAGGGGUGUAGUUUUGUUAUGUGAUAUGUUUACACUUAGUUGGGUUGAAGCUCUUGGAAGAAUCCAGUUUCUUAAACUAUGGAUAGAUUGGUUUUAGCUGUUGGCAUUUCUUUUUUAUCAUGAAUUGAUAGAUCUAAAUUGCUUGCGAUUACUUAAAAUGGAGUUGCUUUUGUUCCCAGAAAAGGUUUACCAAGUUUAAGUGAUUAGGUACAUUUGUUUAGCUCAUGAAUUAUAGUGUGUGCUCAUGUAAUCUUUCCCUAUUGAAAAUGUUGACUGAAACAAUUGAGGUUAAUCACUAAACUUCUAUUUUAAGGCUAGAAUGAAUAAUGUGCACUCUUGUUUUGAGAAUUCUUGAUGGAUUAUAUGCUCAUCCACUUGUGAAAUCUGAACUUUAGUCUAUAUAUGAUUUGUUAUACGUGACUAAAUCAUGAUAAUCAUUCAAUAAGCCCAAUGCUCUGUACUCUAUUUGUGCUUGUUGAAAAUAUGCAUUACUGGAAUACUCAUUCUUUACCCUUCCUUUUCUUUGCAUGACUUGGGAAAAUUUCCCAACCCUAAAUAUUCCUGAGACACUACUGCCCUUGAGAUGCUGCACACUUGGCCAUUCUGUUGCUAUCUUGAGUUGCUAUUUGAUGAAAAUGGUUAUUGCUUGGUUUGUUGCUGUUUUUUUAGGGCAUCUCUGUUUGCCUAGUGAGUAAACUCAUAGUUGCAAACCAUUGUAAGUUACUGCUACAUUGUUGAGCCUUUCUCUGUUGCAUUUGUGGCCAACCUGUGGCUUCAUAUGAAUGUAAGUUGUUGCUACUCUGCCUGAUAAAUAUAGUUGUUGUGUUUGAUGAGCUACUAUUUAAGAUUAUGCCAUAUUUUGAACUGUGGCUGCACUUGGAGAGAGUAACUGCCUACAUUUAAGCUAAAAUUGAUGUUGUUCUUUGGUAAAAUAUCAUUAUUUACUGCUUGUUGUCUUGCUGUAUUUGUUGCCACCUAUUAUUACUUGUGGCUGUGGCAUUCUUUCUGAUUUGUUGCAUUUUAAAGGCUCCCAAAAUGUUGCAUUUUGGAAAAAUUAGUUGUUGCCUCAUUGCUUAAAAGAAAUCGAUACUACACUUGAUGGGAAGUAGUUGAUCCUAUAUUUAUUAUAUCCUAUUGUUGUUGCUUUCCUGCCACUUAUUGUUGCCCUUCAAGGGCUGAUUGUUGCUAAAAUUUAUGGCCUGAAUGUUGAUCAAUAUUGAAUACUUUGAGUUGAGUUAUGUCACUAAGUUAACUGCUAUCAUUUGAGAGGUCACUGCUGCCAUACUUUAGGCAAAGCAAAUGGCUGAAUUUGAGGGUAAAUGAGUUGCAUUCUCUAGACAUUUCGAGGCAAAAUAGUUGCUGCCAUGUUUUCUUUUUAAUGAAGCUGACUGCUAGAGUCUGAUGCAUUGUUUCCAAGGCAAAUGGGUGCUGCAUCUGAGCCAAAGUGCUGAUGCACUUUCAGGCAGAUGCUGCACUCUUGAGUUAAAAGUGUUGCUGCAUUAUAAAACAAAUAGAUGCCACACUUUGGAGGAUGUUGUUGUCUUGAUGGGUACAAAUGUUACACUUUGACGUGCUGCACCUUUGAGUUGAUGAAGGACUAUUCUGAUCAACUCUCUGUUGGGGCAUUUUUGAAGCAGCAAUUACUGCUUUUAUGUAAAUGAGCAGAUACCACACUUGAUAGCUGAGGCUAUACAAUUGUAGAUUUGCUGAGGUUAAAGCUGUUAGGCAGCUGCUCAUUUUUCAGAGAUCCUGUACUCUGAUUUUGCCCUCAAAUAUCUCUUGAUAAACUCAUUGAUUUGAACAGAAGCUAUACUUUUGGCCGAUGAGAACAUUUAAUUUGAGCCCAUGCCUUUUCCGGAAAGGUUAUCCCUCGGUUUAGGCAAUAAUGAUCUCACAGUGAUAUCAAGAGGUAGGAACCAACACGCGCUUGGCAAGGCAACUAGAAUGGCCACUAGUUUGCAGCCGCGACAUGAUUCGGGUUCCUUUGCCAUAUUCGGAACCGUGAGUCUGAGCCUCCGUAAUCAAAGCUCUCAAAGUUUGAUACGAGUCCGAAGGAUAUUAUUAUUUAUGCUCCUAAAUGUCACCCUACGGGGUGGCGUAUCAUUUUGACUAACUACUUUCCUUUUCAUUGUGUGAGGUACCAAUAAAAUAAGCACGGAAAAUAAAACUUAAGGACGAAGUAAAAGGAUCAGAUGCUUAGAGCUUCGGACGAAGACUAGAAGAGUAUGGGAUUUGGGCCCAAGGCCAACAAUGUUAAACUUUCUUCCCUUUAUUUUCGUAUAAAACAUGCUUAUUUUAUAUGUUUACAUUCACUUUGUAUGAACAUGCUUUUUGUUGUAAAUAUUUGUAUAGAUAUUGAAACCCUUAUAAGUUGGAACCUAGGAUUCAGGUAGACGAUAUUUCAAAUUGUACCCGAACGAUAAAAGAGUUGUAUUCCAUUUGAUUAAAGUAACUAAAAGUGAAAGAAUGUUUUCUUGUACAAAAAGUUGAUUAUCUUUGAAUAUAUCUUUAAAAGUACAUUUCAUAAUUUGAGAAACUUAAGAAAAGAAA